UCCUGACGCAGAGCAGUGUAGGGAGAAGACUGCAGGCCGGCGCUGGACGUGAUGGCUGGCUCCUUGGUGACAGUGGCUACCCCCUGAGGCGAUGGCUCCUCACCCCAUUUACGAACCCGCAGAGCGAGGAGGAGGUGCGCUACAACAUCACCCAUGCGCGCGGGCGCUCCGUUGUGGAGCGAGCCAUCGGCCUCCUCAAAUCACCAGGACCCCGACACACAGCCGCCACCUCGACAUGAGGAACACCAGCAGGGCGCAAGGCUCCGUGAACGCGUCAUGCAGCGGAUAACAAGACAACACAGUGUCAGUCAGGACGCGGCCACUGGCAGGAACGCCAUGCGCUCUGGUGCUGGUUCUGGGGACAGCUAAGCCUGCAGCCGCGGUGCCAGACCACGACGUGCCCAGAACCUCCUCGUCGUCCGACGCUUCCAAGUGCAGGAUGAGCCGAAGAGGAAAAAAGAAAGUGUUCUGAUUAA
Long non-coding RNA from Cololabis saira (Pacific saury), 476 nucleotides. RefSeq lists it as uncharacterized. The transcript is spliced from 4 exons. The record is from RefSeq and is a predicted model, not a curated record. NCBI's taxonomy places the organism in Eukaryota, Metazoa, Chordata, Actinopteri, Beloniformes, Belonidae.